RNAcentral lists this ribosomal RNA (388 nucleotides) under uncultured bacterium. Its description in RNAcentral is "bacterial SSU rRNA". It matches the Rfam family "Bacterial small subunit ribosomal RNA", at positions 28 to 417 of the family's 1533-position model. The record is from RNAcentral.
GACGAACGCUGGCGGCGUGCUUAACACAUGCAAGUCGAGCGGUAAGGCCCUUUCGGAGGUACACGAGCGGCGAACGGGUGAGUAACACGUGGGUGACCUGCCCUCAGCUCUGGGAUAAGCCUGGGAAACCGGGUCUAAUACUGGAUAUGACUCCAUGACGCAUGUUGUGGGGUGGAAAGCCUUGUGCGGCUGAGGAUGGGCCCGCGGCCUAUCAGCUUGUUGGUGGGGUGAUGGCCUACCAAGGCGACGACGGGUAGCCGGCCUGAGAGGGCGACCGGCCACACUGGGACUGAGACACGGCCCAGACUCCUACGGGAGGCAGCAGUGGGGAAUCUUGCGCAAUGGGCGAAAGCCUGACGCAGCGACGCCGCGUGAGGGAUGACGGCCU